Molecule: non-coding RNA, 21 nt
Filed under: Caenorhabditis elegans
Lineage: Eukaryota; Metazoa; Nematoda; Chromadorea; Rhabditida; Rhabditidae
Source: RNAcentral
UUCAAUCCUAGUUCCUAUUUU